AUUGAACGCUGGCGGCAGGCCUAACACAUGCAAGUCGAGCGAGCGGCGGACGGGUGAGUAAUGUAUGGGGACUGCCCGAUAGAGGGGGAUAACUACUGGAAACGGUAGCUAAUACCGCAUACUAUCGGAUAACCCAUAUGGGAUUAGCUAGUAGGUGAGGUAAUGGCUCACCUAGGCGACGAUCCCUAGCUGGUCUGAGAGGAUGAUCAGCCACACUGGGAUUUGUACACGGCCCAGACUCCUCCGGAGGCAGCAGUGGGGAAUAUGGCACACAGGGCGCAAGCCUGAUGCAGCCAUGCCGCGUGUAUGAAGAAGGCCCUAGGGCUGUCAAGUAAUUUCAGUCGGGAGGCGUUCCCGACCGAAGAAGCCCCGGCCAACUCCUUGUCAGCAGCCGCGGUAAUUC
This 403-nucleotide ribosomal RNA is filed under the name uncultured bacterium. RNAcentral's name for it is "partial 16S ribosomal RNA". It matches the Rfam family "Bacterial small subunit ribosomal RNA", at positions 30 to 526 of the family's 1533-position model. The record is from RNAcentral.